CGAGGAAUCUUGCGCAAUGGGGGAAACCCUGACGCAGCAACGCCGCGUGAGUGAGGAAGGCCUUCGGGUCGUAAAGCUCUGUCAGAUGGGAAGAAAUGGGUGGGGGCUAAUAUCGUCCAUCCUUGACGGUACCAUCAGAGGAAGCACCGGCUAACUCCGUGCCAGCAGCCGCGGUAAUACGGGGGGUGCAAGCGUUGUUCGGAAUCAUUGGGCGUAAAGCGCGCGCAGGCGGCUUGGUCAGUCAGAUGUGAAAGCCCUGGGCUUAAACCAGGAAGUGCAUUUGAUACUGCCUCGCUAGAGUACGGGAGAGGAAAGUGGAAUUCCUGGUGUAGAGGUGAAAUUCGUAGAUAUCAGGAGGAACACCGGUGGCGAAGGCGACUUUCUGGCCCGAUACUGACGCUCAGGCGCGAAAGCGUGGGGAGCAAACAG
This 429-nucleotide ribosomal RNA is filed under the name uncultured bacterium. Its description in RNAcentral is "bacterial SSU rRNA". It matches the Rfam family "Bacterial small subunit ribosomal RNA", at positions 355 to 775 of the family's 1533-position model. The record is from RNAcentral.